GACGAACGCUGGCGGCGUGCUUAACACAUGCAAGUCGAACGAAGAGCGAUGGAAGCUUGCUUCUAUCAAUCUUAGUGGCGAACGGGUGAGUAACGCGUAAUCAACCUGCCCUUCAGAGGGGGACAACAGUUGGAAACGACUGCUAAUACCGCAUACGAUCCAAUCUCGGCAUCGAGGAUGGAUGAAAGGUGGCCUCUAUUUAUAAGCUAUCACUGAAGGAGGGGAUUGCGUCUGAUUAGCUAGUUGGAGGGGUAACGGCCCACCAAGGCGAUGAUCAGUAGCCGGUCUGAGGGGAUGAACGGCCACAUUGGGACUGAGACACGGCCCAGACUCCUACGGGAGGCAGCAGGGGGGAACCUUCCGAAAUGGACGAAAGUCUGACGGAGCAACGCCGCGGGGGGGAUGACGGCCUUCGGGUUGUAAAGCUCUGUUAAUGGGGACGAAAGGUCCUCUUGGAAAAAGUUAGGGGAAUUGACGGUCCCGGAAAAGAAAGCCCCGGCUAACUACGU
RNAcentral lists this ribosomal RNA (509 nucleotides) under uncultured bacterium. Its description in RNAcentral is "partial 16S ribosomal RNA". It matches the Rfam family "Bacterial small subunit ribosomal RNA", at positions 28 to 506 of the family's 1533-position model. The record is from RNAcentral.